This 645-nucleotide long non-coding RNA is filed under the name Callithrix jacchus (white-tufted-ear marmoset). RNAcentral describes it as "lncRNA (ENSCJAG00000076793.1)". The record is from RNAcentral. Lineage: Eukaryota; Metazoa; Chordata; Mammalia; Primates; Cebidae.
GGAGUGGGUGGGCAAACGGGGCAGACCGAGGGGAUAGGCUCCCCAGUCUCCCCUCCAAGCCCCCCACUCUGUCCACUGCUCCCGAAGGUGGAGGAAGUUAUGCCUCUGGCUCCCUCCCUCCCUCCCUCCUUUUGUGUACAAGCUGUCUACGACAGGGGGUGGGAGGGGGCAUGCAGAUGCAGGGGGUGGUGGCGUGGCUCCGCAACUUUGGAAACUGCCAUUUCAUUCACACAGGCGCUGCCUGGGGGAGGGGGCUGCUUCAGGCUGCAGAAUUCUAGUUCUCACCAGCACACAGGCAACCCCACUCGCGGCGGUGUGGGGCCGGCCGCUCAGAGGAAGCACCGAGCUCUCCGACCCAGCUACCGGGGGCACCCCUUAGAGAAGAACCCCAGCCUGGGGUGGGGACGCACCGGCUCUCCGACAGCUCAAACACAGACAGAUCUUCUAGAGCAGGGGGAAUUUCUUUUCGCAGAAGCCAUUACUCCCCCCUGUUUCUUCAACUGUGAAAUGGAGUUCGUAGUGGCGCUUGAGAAAGCUCUUAGUCUCCAGCCCAGCCGGGAGAGGUGGCUCAUGCCUGUAAUCCUAGAACUUUGGGAGGCCGAGGCGAGAAGAUCACCUGAGGUCGGGAGUUCAACACCAACUUGA